This 451-nucleotide ribosomal RNA is filed under the name uncultured Rhodoferax sp. RNAcentral describes it as "bacterial SSU rRNA". It matches the Rfam family "Bacterial small subunit ribosomal RNA", at positions 929 to 1382 of the family's 1533-position model. Lineage: Bacteria; Pseudomonadati; Pseudomonadota; Betaproteobacteria; Burkholderiales; Comamonadaceae. The record is from RNAcentral.
GCGGUGGAUGAUGUGGUUAAUUCGAUGCAACGCGAAAACCUUACCCACCUUUGACAUGUACGGAACCCUUUAGAGAUAGAGGGGUGCUCGAAAGAGAGCCGUAACACAGGUGCUGCAUGGCUGUCGUCAGCUCGUGUCGUGAGAUGUUGGGUUAAGUCCCGCAACGAGCGCAACCCUUGUCAUUAGUUGCUACAUUCAGUUGGGCACUCUAAUGAGACUGCCGGUGACAAGCCGGAGGAAGGUGGGGAUGACGUCAAGCCCUCAUGGCCCUUAUAGGUGGGGCUACACACGUCAUACAAUGGCUGGUACAAAGGGUUGCCAACCCGCGAGGGGGAGCCAAUCCCAUAAAGCCAGUCGUAGUCCGGAUCGUAGUCUGCAACUCGACUACGUGAAGUCGGAAUCGCUAGUAAUCGUGGAUCAGAAUGUCACGGUGAAUACGUUCCCGGGUCUU